This 1496-nucleotide ribosomal RNA is filed under the name metagenome. RNAcentral's name for it is "bacterial SSU rRNA". It matches the Rfam family "Bacterial small subunit ribosomal RNA". The record is from RNAcentral.
AGAGUUUGAUCCUGGCUCAGAUUGAACGCUGGCGGCAUGCCUUACACAUGCAAGUCGAACGGUAACAGGGAGCCUGCUCCGCUGACGAGUGGCGAACGGGUGAGUAACAUAUCGGAACGUACCAUUCAGUGGGGGAUAACGUAGCGAAGGUUACGCUAAUACCGCAUAUUCUGUGAGCAGGAAAGCAGGGGAUCGCAAGACCUUGCGCUGAUUGAGCGGCCGAUAUCAGAUUAGCUAGUUGGUGAGGUAAAAGCUCACCAAGGCGACGAUCUGUAGCGGGUCUGAGAGGAUGAUCCGCCACACUGGAACUGAGACACGGUCCAGACUCCUACGGGAGGCAGCAGUGGGGAAUUUUGGACAAUGGGGGCAACCCUGAUCCAGCCAUGCCGCGUGAGUGAAGAAGGCCUUCGGGUUGUAAAGCUCUUUCAGCCGGGAAGAAAACGCAUUGGUUAAUACCUGAUGUGGAUGACGGUACCGGAAUAAGAAGCACCGGCUAACUACGUGCCAGCAGCCGCGGUAAUACGUAGGGUGCGAGCGUUAAUCGGAAUUACUGGGCGUAAAGCGUGCGCAGGCGGUUUUGUAAGAUAGGUGUGAAAUCCCCGGGCUUAACCUGGGAACUGCAUUUAUGACCGCAAGGCUAGAGUACGGCAGAGGGGGGUGGAAUUCCACGUGUAGCAGUGAAAUGCGUAGAGAUGUGGAGGAACACCAAUGGCGAAGGCAGCCCCCUGGGUCGAUACUGACGCUCAUGCACGAAAGCGUGGGUAGCAAACAGGAUUAGAUACCCUGGUAGUCCACGCCCUAAACGAUGUCAACUAGGUGUUGGGUGGGUAAAACCAUUUAGUACCGGAGCUAACGCGUGAAGUUGACCGCCUGGGGAGUACGGCCGCAAGGUUAAAACUCAAAGGAAUUGACGGGGACCCGCACAAGCGGUGGAUGAUGUGGAUUAAUUCGAUGCAACGCGAAAAACCUUACCUACCCUUGACAUGUCAGGAACUUGCCAGAGAUGGCUUGGUGCUCGAAAGAGAACCUGAACACAGGUGCUGCAUGGCUGUCGUCAGCUCGUGUCGUGAGAUGUUGGGUUAAGUCCCGCAACGAGCGCAACCCUUGUCGUUAAUUGCCAUCAUUUAGUUGGGCACUUUAACGAGACUGCCGGUGACAAACCGGAGGAAGGUGGGGAUGACGUCAAGUCCUCAUGGCCCUUAUGGGUAGGGCUUCACACGUCAUACAAUGGUCGGUACAAAGGGUCGCCAACCCGCGAGGGGGAGCUAAUCCCAUAAAGCCGAUCGUAGUCCGGAUUGCAGGCUGCAACUCGCCUGCAUGAAGUCGGAAUCGCUAGUAAUCGUGGAUCAGCAUGUCACGGUGAAUACGUUCCCGGGUCUUGUACACACCGCCCGUCACACCAUGGGAGCGGGUUCCGCCAGAAGUAGGUAGCCUAACCGCAAGGAGGGCGCUUACCACGGCGGGGUUCGUGACUGGGGUGAAGUCGUAACAAGGUA